UUUGUCCAUAGUCAUGUAUUAAAAUCAAAUGACUGUAUUUAACCACAAAAAUUGUACUGUAUUUUGGAUGUCAAAAAACCUCCUACAAUUAUUAAAACCAGACUCUGUGAGGCCAAAUAUUUAAAAUGCAUUUCUAAUGGCAAAAAAAAGAACAACAUGUAUUCAGUUCCAACUAUGUAAAAGUAGAUUGGUUUUAAAAAUUAGAAUAUUUACAGAAUGUUAUACAAAAUAGAAAAUCUUUAUACCUUAGAAGAUCUUCAUGGUGUCUUGGAUAGAUCACUGACAAGUAAUACUUACGCAGAUCACUUCCUCCCCAAGGCUUCAGCCUGCCAAUGGAAAGAGGUAAGUGUUGAACUUACUAACCAAGUUCUCUUCUAGUUGCAAACUCCAGAAUAUGAUGAUUUAUGCAUGCAAAGCACUUACACUUCUACUUAUUGCCCGAACCUUUCUCUGAAAAGAAAAAGAAAUUGACUGGCAUCAAACCAAAAAGUCUACUGACUCAAUGUUUCAGCUGAGCCUAGUGACUCCUGAGCACUGAGCCAUCACUUCAACAACAUCUCCAACUAUCAAAGAGGACAACUAUAAACAGAAGUCCCACCAAAACGCACAGGAGCAGAAUAUGCACUUUUUUACCUGUUGACUCUGUCUCUUUAAUUUUCAUACUACUUUAUCAGAAGAUUCACCUGUAGUCAAAAGCCACCUAUUCACAAACACAACUGACUGAUUCAGAGCAUUGAUUCCAUAAUGUUAUAUGGCAUAGAAUUAUAUGCCCUGGAGAAUUCCUCCCUGAAGAACGUGAAAUCACUUCAUAGAGACCUUCCUGUAUUUUUGUGUGAUAACUAACGAGGCUUAAACUUGGCCCCUCGGGUGAGAAAGCUCAAGAGCACAAACAUGGAGCAGCACUCCUUCUUAUGUCUAUGGGGAAUGAGCACCUCUUCCCACAAGAGACUCAAUUCCACCGUGACACCUCCCAGUAGGAGGUGAGAGCAGA
This 991-nucleotide long non-coding RNA is filed under the name Homo sapiens (human). RNAcentral's name for it is "HSALNT0171697". The record is from RNAcentral. Lineage: Eukaryota; Metazoa; Chordata; Mammalia; Primates; Hominidae.